AUACGAAGGGGGCUAGCGUUGUUCGGAAUUACUGGGCGUAAAGCGCGCGUAGGCGGACUGAUCAGUUGGGGGUGAAAUCCCAGGGCCUAACCCUGGAAUUGCCUCCAAUACUGUCAGUCUUGAGUUCGGGAGAGGUGAGUGGAAUUCCUAGUGUAGAGGUGAAAUUCGUAGAUAUUAGGAAGAACACCAGUGGCGAAGGCGGCUCACUGGCCCGAUACUGACGCUGAGGCGCGAAAGCGUGGGGAGCAAACAGGAUUAGAAACCCUAGUAGUCC
RNAcentral lists this ribosomal RNA (274 nucleotides) under uncultured bacterium. RNAcentral describes it as "partial 16S ribosomal RNA". It matches the Rfam family "Bacterial small subunit ribosomal RNA", at positions 523 to 796 of the family's 1533-position model. The record is from RNAcentral.